This 303-nucleotide unclassified non-coding RNA is filed under the name Exbucklandia populnea. Its description in RNAcentral is "partial contains external transcribed spacer and 18S ribosomal RNA". Lineage: Eukaryota; Viridiplantae; Streptophyta; Magnoliopsida; Saxifragales; Hamamelidaceae. RNAcentral also lists the same sequence under 1 other name. The record is from RNAcentral.
UUAUCUGAUUCCGCUUGGCACCCUGUCGGAGUGCAAGGUGGACCUUGAAGCAAUCCCUGUGUUCCAUGCGCAGCACACCUUGUUGUGCUGCGGCAAUGGCCCAUGGGUGCAUGCUCGUACUCUCGGAUGCGGAAACUUGUGCGGGUAUGGGUUCACACCCCUGUUUGCCCAAACUAAGCGUUCGUCGCUAGACACGUACGACAGUCGCGCUCGUCUUGACUUUCCAAUGAUCUUGGCAAGGCUCAUGCGAUGCCGGCGUCGCACAGGAAUGCUACCUGGUUGAUCCUGCCAGUAGUCAUAUGC